ACCUACGGGAGCAGCAGUGGGGAAUAUUGGACAAUGGGGGGAACCCUGAUCCAGCGACGCCGCGUGAGCGAAGAAGUAUUUCGGUAUGUAAAGCUCUAUCAGCAGGGAAGAAAAUGACGGUACCUGACUAAGAAGCCCCGGCUAACUACGUGCCGGCAGCCGCGGUAAUACGUAGGGGGCAAACGUUAUCCGGAAUUACUGGGUGUAAAGGGAGCGUAGACGGCAAUGCAAGUCCGGAGUGGAAUGCGGCAGCUCAACUGCCGAACUGCUCUGGAAACUGUAUGGCUUGAGUGCAGGAGGGGUAA
Molecule: ribosomal RNA, 305 nt
Filed under: uncultured bacterium
Lineage: Bacteria
Description: bacterial SSU rRNA
Rfam family: Bacterial small subunit ribosomal RNA
Source: RNAcentral